RNAcentral lists this ribosomal RNA (443 nucleotides) under uncultured bacterium. Its description in RNAcentral is "partial 16S ribosomal RNA". It matches the Rfam family "Bacterial small subunit ribosomal RNA", at positions 338 to 795 of the family's 1533-position model. The record is from RNAcentral.
CCUACGGGAGGCAGCAGUGGGGAAUAUUGGGCAAUGGGCGCAAGCCUGACCCAGCAACGCCGCGUGAAGGAAGAAGGCUUUCGGGUUGUAAACUUCUUUUCUGAGGGACGAAGAAAGUGACGGUACCUCAGGAAUAAGCCACGGCUAACUACGUGCCAGCAGCCGCGGUAAUACGUAGGUGGCACGCGUUAGACGGAUUUAGUGGGUGGAAAGGGCGUUGAUGCGGGAAAGCAUGUCAGAUGUGAAAACUCAGGGCUCAACCCUGAGCCUGCAUGUGAAACUGUUUUUCUUGAGUGCUGGAGAGGCAAUCGGAAUUACGUGUGCAGCGGUGAAAUGCGUAGAUAUACGGAGGAACACCAGUGGCGAAGGCGGAUUGCUGGACAGUAACUGACGCUGAGGCGCGAAAGCGUGGGGAGCAAACAGGAUUAGAUACCCCUGUAGUC